Molecule: ribosomal RNA, 443 nt
Filed under: uncultured bacterium
Lineage: Bacteria
Description: partial 16S ribosomal RNA
Rfam family: Bacterial small subunit ribosomal RNA
Source: RNAcentral
CCUACGGGUGGCAGCAGUGGGGAAUAUUGGGCAAUGGGCGCAAGCCUGACCCAGCAACGCCGCGUGAAGGAAGAAGGCUUUCGGGUUGUAAACUUCUUUUGUCAGGGACGAAGCAAGUCACGGUACCUGACGAAUAAGCCACGGGUAACUACGUGCCAGCAGCCGCGGUAAUAAGUAGGUGGCAAGCCUUAUCCGGAUUUAUUGGGGGUAAAGGGCGUGUAUGCGGGAAUGCAAGUCAGAGGGGAAAACUAUGGGCUCAACCCAUAGCCUGCAUUUGAAACUGUAUUUCUUGAGUGCUGGAGAGGCAAUCGGAAUUCCGUGUGUAGCGGUGAAAUGCGUAGAUAUACGGAGGAACACCAGUGGCGAAGGCGGAUUGCUGGACAGUAACUGACGCUGAGGCGCGAAAGCGUGGGGAGCAAACAGGAUUAGAUACCCCGGUAGUC